This is an RNA transcript of Cynara cardunculus var. scolymus (artichoke), 2227 nucleotides long. It is a transcript of the gene named vacuolar cation/proton exchanger 3-like, with no coding region annotated. The transcript is spliced from 13 exons. NCBI's taxonomy places the organism in Eukaryota, Viridiplantae, Streptophyta, Magnoliopsida, Asterales, Asteraceae. The record is from RefSeq and is a predicted model, not a curated record.
UUCACUUUUGAUAGAUAUGCUUCUUCCAUCUAUUUUGAUCUGCUUCAACGAUUGACCUCAAAUCCUUACAAAUUCUCCAUCUGCUCUGAUUAAGGUCAGUUGCUUAACUUUCGUUUACCUUCAGCUCACACAAUUUAUGUGAUAUGCAAAUCAUGUAUUAUCAAUUUCUGCUCUAAUCUCGUUCCGUUCCGUUCCUUUCCUUGUAGCUUUGCCUAACUUUUGUCUACUUUGUAAUUACCUCUUGCUAUAAUUUGGAACUGCUCUCACUUUUUAUUGUUGCAAGUAUGAUUAGACCUUGUCUCCUUUCCCCGGAUUCUCAGUAUCAGUAUUUUCAUCAUUAGUGCCAGGAAGUAACGGGAUCUGCGAAAAUGGAAGCAUUGACGGAGAACAUUGAUCUUGAAUCUGAUGAAGGAAGUCCAUUAACUUUAUCACAUUCCACCAAUGCAAAACAAUCUUUUCAGUUUGAGACAUCUCAUACAAGUGGCGACAGAUUAUCAGUCCUCAGAGAGUUACAGCUCACUGCAUUCCAUAGUAUCUAUAUUGUCUUGUUUAAAGCGAAGAUCAAUGUUUUGCUUCCUUUUGGACCUUUGGCAAUACUACUACACUACCUAACAGGACAGCAUGGUUGGGUCUUCUUUUUCAGCUUACUAGGAAUUGCUCCUUUAGCUGAGCGACUGGGUUAUGCAACCGAGCAACUCGCAUUUUAUACAGGGCAGACAGUUGGUGGUCUUCUGAAUGCCACAUUUGGCAAUGCUACAGAAAUGAUUAUCUCACUAUAUGCAUUAAAGAGUGGGAUGAUUAGGGUGGUUCAGCAAUCAUUAUUGGGAUCCAUCUUAUCAAACAUGCUAUUAGUGCUUGGUUGUGCCUUCUUUACCGGUGGCAUUGUGCAUUAUCCAAAAGUCCAGGUUUUCAGUAAGGCAACUGCCAUAGUUAGUUCAGGACUGCUGUUGAUGGCUGUGAUGGGUAUAUUAUUUCCAGCUGUUCUUCACUUUACACACACAGAAGUCCAUUUCGGGAAGUCAGAAUUGGCACUUUCAAGAUUUAGCAGCUGUAUCAUGUUGGUGGCGUACGGAAGCUAUCUGUUCUUUCAGCUUAAAAGCCACUCUAACCUAUAUGAUUCAAUUGAUGAGGGAAGGGAAAAUAAUGGGGAAGAUUCUGAUGGCGAGGUCCCUGAGAUUACUAAGUGGGAAGCAAUUUCAUGGCUUACUAUUAUAACAUUGUGGGUAUCUGUACUAUCUGCCUAUCUCGUUGAUGCCAUACAGGGAGCAUCUGACUCAUGGAAUAUUCCCGUGUCUUUUAUUAGCGUCAUCCUGCUUCCUAUCGUUGGGAAUGCUGCUGAACAUGCAAGUGCCAUAAUGUUUGCCAUGAAAGACAAACUUGACAUCACACUAGGGGUGGCAAUUGGAUCAUCAACUCAGAUAUCUAUGUUUGUGAUCCCCUUUUGUGUGGUUGUGGGUUGGAUCAUGGGGCAGCCGAUGGACUUGAACUUUCAGCUCUUUGAGACUGCUACACUCUUUAUCACAGUGUUAGUCAUAGCAUUCUUGCUGCAGGAAGGAACAUCAAAUUACUUUAAAGGCCUGAUGCUAAUUCUCUGCUACCUCAUUGUUGCUGCAAGUUUCUUUGUACAUGUUGACAAUAAAUCUGGCAUAAAUUAUGCAGAUGAUGAUUAGAAGUGCAGGGACCAAAUGAUCAUUCAUCAUCAUCAAGAAAUAGAACUUGAUUUCCGGCAUGGGUGCACACAGAUCAGCAGCUCGAUUAUUCUUUUCCCAUAUUGUAAAUUUGGAUCCAGCAUCAUAAGGAAGCUGGAAGUUUUUUGGUCUAUGACUAGUUGAAAUAGAAGGCACACAUAUUACGUCCUGAAAAAUGAAGAAUUUGCAGUCGGCUGGUUCCAAUGACCUGAACUGACCUAUGUGUGAAAUUGGUGCGGAAGGAGCCUGAUAAGUAUGUGGUAGAUUAUGAAGGUCAAGUUGUGGGUGUGAAGUGCGUGCAUAUUUUAGAUUUCCUAGUUCUGUUCACCAAACUAUCUGUAGAGCAGAUGACUAGGUUAGCAUUGGUUUAGCAGUCAUGUUGCUCAUAUUGACUUGUACAUUUAUGCGUUUUUCUUUCAUGGGUUCAUGUGCUGAUGAGCUUUAUGUAAUGUUAUCGUACCAUUUGAAUUAUUUAAUGACGGAGGGACGGAGAGGGAGAGGGUUCCACCACAAAAUAUCAAGACAUGGUUGUUCAAAAG